GCCAGUGAAGGAAUCUUCUGCGGACCGCGCUUCAAUCUUCCUCUGGAUGGGAGCCAGUUCCAUCUCCUGUAAUGCAUCAUGGUCAAACUUGGAAUUCGCCUCUUGCACCUUCACAUGAAGAACAGAGGAGAAGAGAGGUUCAACUCCGGACAGCGGGUUUUGCCAGAGAAAGACCUGUAUUGUUACAGACAUACUUUCUGACCAGUAUUUUGAAAUAAAUGAGCAAAAAUAACCGAAACUGGUUUGAUUAUAUUGUGUUAUUUUGACAAAUAAAAUAUGCAGAAUUUGAAAA
Non-coding RNA from Chrysemys picta bellii (western painted turtle), 292 nucleotides. The record is from RefSeq and is a predicted model, not a curated record. Lineage: Eukaryota; Metazoa; Chordata; Testudines; Emydidae.